GCUCGGGCUCGGGCCCGGCCCCUUUCCCGAUCUCCGUCACCGAGACCAUCCCCGUCCCUAUCCCUGUCCCCGUCCUUAUCCCCAUCCCUAUCCCUGUCCCCGUCCUUAUCCCCAUCCCUAUCCCUGUCCCCGUCCUUAUCCCCUUCCCAGUCCUGUCCCCGUCCCCUUCCCCAUCCUGUCUCCACCCCCAUCCCAGUCCCCAUCUCCGUGCACAUCCCUGUUCCUAUCCCCAUCCCUGUUCUUAUCCCUGUGCCUAUCCCUGUCCUGGUCCCUAUCCCCGUCCCUGCCUCCAUGCCUGUCCUUGUCUCCUUCCUCAUCUCCUUCCCCUCCCAGUCCCCGUCCCAGGGGCUCCUCCGCGGGCCAUGGGAUCUGUCCCGAGGCCCUCAGGCUCCCGGCUCGGCCGGGCUUGUUUGAAUCUGAAUUUAUCUCGGUGCCUCCUCAGAGCGUUCCCCGUGCUGCAGAUGAUUUAUGGAGAAACGUCGUGCCCCAGCGUCGAUAAAGUGCUGGGAAGUGCAUGGAAGGGAAGGUGGUGAGGCAUUUGGGAGUUCGGGAAUGGUUAGCUCUGAGGUCCAAGCGGUGGAGGGUUUUCUGCUUUGGAAAGAGGGCUGCGUGUACUCGUGGUGACCAACACUGAGUGGAUGCAGAGUGGAAAGGAGAAAGACACGGAGACAGGAAAGUCGUAUCUCCCCCCCUCUACUACUGAUUUUGAACACUUUGGGUUAAUAGCUACCCUUUACACAUUUUCUUGAAAAAUGAAUGUUAGAACUGGUUUUUCUAAUGUGCAUCCUAUCUUUCUGGGGAACACAGAUACCUAACAUGCAAUUACACCAGGGUACAGCAAACCAACCUAACAGCUGGAUGAUGUUAAGGGGCAUGGAUUGGCUUCUCCCCGAUCUCACCCAUCCACUCCCACAUAUUCUUCUUACCUGGUGAGAAGGCAGGGAACUAAAUCAAAAGAAAACCAUUUCUACACAAAAGUGAUUUGCUUCUUGGGGAGCAGACAGGCUUUUAGGAGAUACCUGCACUUCUUGGGAUAGUCUAAUUAUACCCUUUGUCUUCUGGAUUAUGGGGUUUUACAGGACAAGUGCUGGUAGCCUGUUAAACAGCAGGAAUAACAGCCUUCAGUGAAUAGGUACAUGAUGGAAGGAUAGUUAUUUCGUGACGGAACACGGGGGUUUUCUACUUUCUCAGUGAUGGCUGUGGUGAUAUAACUCUGCAUGCUCAUUCUCUGUGUCCAGACUGUCUUUUCCACUCACUACAGCACAGAUUCCCAGGUCAUCACAGCCCUCGAGCAUCACCCCAUAGGAAUUGGUGAGAUCUGGGGGGCCUGCAAAAAAGCAGCAGCCUUUUUUGGCUUUUUUGGAAAUCCAGCAUUUGUAAACAGGGAUCCUGUUCAAAGCUCCCCAAGAGGUGCUGGGGGACAGCCCUGCCUGAUGUACAGCACCUUAUUCCUCUUUGUUUUGUGUCUUGUAAAAGACACAAUUGUUUAUGAAGGACAUGAGGAUUGCAGCAGCCAUGAUCCUGCAGGACCAGCCCUUGGAGCUGUGCCAUCAUCUUUACAUUCACUCCCUCUGGAACCAUGCCGUGGUCCAAAACUUGGGCUUUUUACUGAGCCAGAAAACUGAGAGGACUGAGAUAAGAAUUACCUUCUAAUGACAUACGUGGAUUUGGAAAAAUAGCUGAAGUUUGUGGUAGUUAUGCUUUCAGCUUCCAUCUCCUUACAUUUCUUAUUACUUGCCUACCAUACCUUUGGCAUUGGACUUUUUACUCUGGUGAAACCUAAUUUGUAUUUUCAGGAUAUAUUUCCAUACUCCUCCACAUGUUCAGUGGUGAGCAUCAGCAUUUUUUUUCAUUUGUGGGAGUUUCUGGUUUUGUUCCCUCCACUUGUUUUGAUCAGGUCUUUCCCCUUAUUCUCUUUUUUUUCUUAUCCCACUCUCUUUAUGGAGCUGUGUCUAUUUAUUUAUCUGGUUUCUAUUAACUUGCCCCUGGCUCAGUCUGCUUGGAGAGUUCACUACUGCAGGGUUUCUGUUUCUGUCCCUUUAGCUGGUUUUAUUGCUUUGAAUUGCAAUGGAGUUGUCUCACCUUAGGAUUACUGUCAGCAGCAACACAACUUGUCCUUCCUGCGCAUGGGUUUAUUUUGAAGAAAAACCUUUAACUUCCUUUUCUUCCACUGUUCCUUUGGAGAGAAUUGGUUAAUUCCUCCAGCAGGAUCCUGGCUGGGUGACACUGCUGAUGGCCUUUGGCAGCAUUCUGGGAUGCUGCUACUCAAGUGGCAGCAGCUUAAGCAGAGAUGAGAGGAUCUGGAGUGUGGACUGAACACCUCAAACACCAAGUGCCCCUUUGCUGAACUCCUCUCCCCAUGGUAACAAGCCAGGGCCCAGCUGAACAAGGUACAGCAACCUGGGCCAGGGGUACAAGGUAAGGGGUUUACAAACAGUAACUGUAACAUGGCUAACAAUCUUCUAAUUAUUCUUAACACAUAGCAUCAGUUGCAUUAGGAAUUAGGGCUCUGCCUGUACAUUCCCUGCUCCUGCUGCAGCCUCCUGAUGUCUACAAUGUUUGCAAACUGUGAGCUCCAAGGGAGUUCAGAGAACUGUGGGACAGGUGACGUACCCUGUGUGCCUCUGCACUGGUUGCACUCCAGGCCUUUUCCCUGUCUCCCUCUGCCAGGUACUCCCUCAAGUCAAACACAGCCUUGGGAUCAGUUCAGAUGAGAAAUGACAUUAAUGUUAUGGUAAAUGAGAUAACAUGCUCAAAGAGUGCAACACAUCAACUGAAAGACAAGAAAAAGGGGAAAACAGCAAGCAGGGGUAGAGUGAGUGUCUGUAGGGAGAUCAGGGUGUUGAGGGAGGCUGGACAAACGGUGCAUGACUUCCUUUUGUUGCCUGUAUGUACCUUUUCCUGAUGGACAAAGAACCAAAUAGAUUUCACAUAGUAAAGGUAACUCAACAGUCAAGUAUUUUUACAGUAAUCCAGUACAUGCAAACCCAUGGCCACCUGGCUACUGAGCUCCCAAAUGCAGAACAGCUCUGACUCGUACUUUCAAUUCCUGCAGCAGCAAUUACCAGCACAAUUACCUGCUCUGUCCUUCAGCUAAGCGGGGCCUUCCCAAAGAGUGUUUUGAAGUGUGUCCAGUGUUUGCACUGGGCGUGCUUCCACAGGCACAGCACAGCCCCUGCUGCCUGCAGAGGUUACAAAGUACAUUCAAUUCAGCCUUGCACUUGUUUCUGUUCCCUCCUGCCUUUUCACAGUGAGUGUGUUUUGCAAUAUUCGGCUAGAAACACUGGCAAAAUAUUAGUAGAAGCAAAUUAAGGGACUAAUUCAGCUCAGAGGGGCUGCUGACACCAUGGGUUGAUACCCUACAGGUCAUGGUGUGCAGCUGGCAGGGACACACAUUCCACAGGGUUUUUUCUAAAGGAAUGAGUUUGAUGUGUGAGUACAGGUCACCUCCUGCCCAUUCACUUCAGCAGGAACAGGUCUGACUGCAACCACCAGAAAACAAAUGAGUACCAAGAAAGCGACUUUCAAAACCACAUUUAAAUUAAGUCCUGAAGUGAAGAGUAAAGAGCAGUGUCUGCAGAACAUUCUUUUUGCAUAAAUGCAUUAUGUGGGUACAAGGGUAGUAUUAAAUUGUCCGGAAUGGCAUUUUCCUCUGGAAAUUACCUUUAAUAAGUGUUCAAUAUGGGUGAAAGUUCACAGAAACUUUAGCAGUAAACUGGUUACUUCUAAAGCUGCCUGCAGAACUCAGUGGGAGCAGUUACAGGGCCUGAUUGAAAGGAUUAAGCACGUGUGGUUUCACUUCUAGUUGGACCAAAACUGAAAAACUCCAACUUACCCAUACACUCAUUCUAAAAAUGACAAGGAGUGUUCUCCAUGUGGAGUUUUGGAACUGCUUCAGUCAGAUUCCUCCUGUCUGCCAUGAGGACAAGAGCUCAGGCCUUGGAAAUCAAGGCUUGUUCUUUAUGUUUUAAUCCAACAUUCCCAGCACAACAGUAUCCCUUAAUAAAAGAUGAAUAGGUCUCAGAUACACAACAAUUGGAAUUCACUUCCUAGCAAAGAGCAAAUACUGUCUGAUAUCAGACCUUUUACCUAAAGGAUUCCAGAAGUAAAACAGGAAAAUGUUUUUCAUCAAUGUCAGCAAAGGGUGAUUUUUCCUCAGUUCAGAGCAUCUCUAAGUACUGAAAAAUACUGAGGGCCAAAGUCUACUAAAAACCAUUUUCUUACACCUAAGCAGUUAAAAAUAUCUAGAGUAGGUAAAAGCCCUUCCAAGACAAGACCUUCAGAAUAAUUAUCUUUCACAGACAUCUCUUGCUGGGCAAGGAAAUGCGCAGGAAAGCAAAGGCAUCAAUCACAUGUUAUUACAGUCCUGCUGGUUAAAAUAGAACUCAUUUCUUCACCUGCACUACUGAACAGGCUUUCAGGAGUCACAGGGGACAUUUACUGACACUUCCAUCUGCAGCAUGGUCCAGUCUCUGACAAGGAGCUUCUGGAGCUGUUGCUGUGGUCUCAGGUCUAUAGGUACAGCUUGCUGCCUGUCCAGAGGGGAGAAUGCACAAGAACUGGAGUCUAAUGACAUUUUAUUUAUUCUCUUUCAUGGCUGAGACCUCUAAUGAGCUACAUGAAGAGCCCUAGACUGAAGCUUUAUUACACUGUCCCUUUAAUGUGGAACAUGCAGCAGCCCUGCUGAGUCACCCCUCCUCUCUCUACCCUCAUUUACUUACUCCUGUCCCUUCCUUAUGCUGGAACAAGCAUUUUUCUAGCUCUGUAGAAAACGGAUCUGUAUUAAAAACGACACAAUUUC
Molecule: non-coding RNA, 4801 nt
Organism: Cyanistes caeruleus (blue tit)
Lineage: Eukaryota; Metazoa; Chordata; Aves; Passeriformes; Paridae
Source: RefSeq, a predicted model, not a curated record